RNAcentral lists this long non-coding RNA (393 nucleotides) under Lupinus angustifolius (narrow-leaved blue lupine). RNAcentral describes it as "long non-coding RNA (LANG_LNC003483)". Lineage: Eukaryota; Viridiplantae; Streptophyta; Magnoliopsida; Fabales; Fabaceae. The record is from RNAcentral.
AAUUGCCCCAGUGUGAUAUUCACAAUUAGCAUUUGGGUUGAAUCGUUGUGGGUAUGGAGGUUCCACCAUCUUUGAGGGGAUAGGAGUCAGCAAUGAUCUUUGAAGAAGUUGUGGCAAUAACUCGGAAUAUGACAUCGGGAUCGGAUCAUACAAACUCUUCCUUUUUCGCUUUCGUGGCCGCCCUUUUUUACCAUUUGUAAAAGCAUAACAUGAUGCUUGUAGAAAAUAAGGCAUUUGAGGUUGACUGAGGGUCUCCGUGAAUGCGAAUUCCUCUUCCAUAUCUUCACUUGCAAGAUCGCUUUGGAUUAUCCUGUUGGCUGAGUUUUUCUCAAUUUUGUCAUUCUUGGAGUGAUUCUCAAUUCUCUCGCCUAUAGUUAUCAAAUGACGGAAAUC